Molecule: ribosomal RNA, 385 nt
Filed under: uncultured bacterium
Lineage: Bacteria
Description: bacterial SSU rRNA
Rfam family: Bacterial small subunit ribosomal RNA
Source: RNAcentral
UCGAGAAUUUUUCACAAUGGGGGAAACCCUGAUGGAGCGACGCCGCGUGGAGGAUGAAGGCCUUCGGGUCGUAAACUCCUGUCAUGCGGGAACAAGAAAGUGAUAGUACCGCAAGAGGAAGAGACGGCUAACUCUGUGCCAGCAGCCGCGGUAAUACAGAGGUCUCAAGCGUUGUUCGGAUUCAUUGGGCGUAAAGGGUGCGUAGGUGGCGAUGCAAGUCUGGUGUGAAAUCUCAGGGCUUAACCUUGAAAAUGCACCGGAUACUGCGUUGCUUGAGGAUUGUAGAGGAGAGUGGAAUUCACGGUGUAGCAGUGAAAUGCGUAGAUAUCGUGAGGAAGACCAGUUGCGAAGGCGACUCUCUGGGCAACUCCUGACACUGAGGCAC